Molecule: ribosomal RNA, 254 nt
Filed under: uncultured bacterium
Lineage: Bacteria
Description: partial 16S ribosomal RNA
Rfam family: Bacterial small subunit ribosomal RNA
Source: RNAcentral
UACGUAGGGUGCGAGCGUUGUCCGGAAUUACUGGGCGUAAAGGGCGCGUAGGCGGUCAGCACAAGUCAGUUGUGAAAUCUCCGGGCUUAACUCGGAAAGGUCAACUGAUACUGUGCGACUAGAGUGCGGAAGGGGCAACUGGAAUUCUCGGUGUAGCGGUGAAAUGCGUAGAUAUCGAGAGGAACACCGAUGGCGAAGGCAAUCCCCUGGACCUGUACUGACGCUCAUGCACGAAAGCGUGGGGAGCAAACAGG